CCUGCCUUUCUUCCCCAGCGUCACCAUCUGUGGCAGCCUGGGAUACGCAUGAGCUCCUCAGGAGGGCGGCUCCGUGGAACACACAUCUGGAUGACAGGAGGGAGCCAGGAGCUGUGAGAAGACGGGGGAGCUGCCGCCGCAAGAAUGCAAGACCCACGGGCUCUACGAUGCGGGGGAGCAGCGGGCAUCUGAGGAAGGGGCGUCAGGGGCACAUGGCCAGCCCUCUUCACCCCACAGUCUGCCCCAGGCCAGCCCCACUAGGAGUGACCCAUUUUCUCCUAGCAGGAUUCCUUGCAUGGGGUGGCCUGGACCCAAAACACCCGCUCUGAGGAUUCCCUGUUAACCACAGAGAAGGUUGACUCAAGUUUCUUUAUUUGGCCAUGAAACUGUGGGGCAUCUCACGGUGCUUCUUGGGUCCACUGGAGAGCCCUGGAAGCU
This 438-nucleotide long non-coding RNA is filed under the name Homo sapiens (human). RNAcentral describes it as "long intergenic non-protein coding RNA 2766". Lineage: Eukaryota; Metazoa; Chordata; Mammalia; Primates; Hominidae. The record is from RNAcentral.